UACGUAGGGGUGCAAAGCGUUUAUCCGGAAUUUAUUGGGCGAAAAGAGCUCGUAGGCGGUUUGUCGCGUCUGCUGUGAAAACUGGAGGCUCAACCUCCAGCCUGCAGUGGGUACGGGUAGACUAGAGUGCGGUAGGGGAGAUUGGAAUUCCUGGUGUAGCGGUGGAAUGCGCAGAUAUCAGGAGGAACACCAAUGGCAAGGCAGAUCUCUGGGCCGUAAACUGACGCUGAGGAGCGAAAAGCAUGGGGAGCGAACAGG
RNAcentral lists this ribosomal RNA (258 nucleotides) under uncultured bacterium. RNAcentral's name for it is "partial 16S ribosomal RNA". It matches the Rfam family "Bacterial small subunit ribosomal RNA", at positions 524 to 776 of the family's 1533-position model. The record is from RNAcentral.